Molecule: non-coding RNA, 28 nt
Filed under: Mus musculus (house mouse)
Lineage: Eukaryota; Metazoa; Chordata; Mammalia; Rodentia; Muridae
Source: RNAcentral
UGAGGCUAUACAGAAAUCAGGACUGUAA